UACGGGGGGGGCAAGCGUUGUUCGGAAUUACUGGGCGUAAAGGGCGCGUAGGCGGUCAGCACAAGUCAGUUGUGAAAUCUCCGGGCUUAACUCGGAAAGGUCAACUGAUACUGUGCGACUAGAGUGCGGAAGGGGCAACUGGAAUUCUUGGUGUAGCGGUGAAAUGCGUAGAUAUCAAGAGGAACACCUGCGGCGAAGGCGGGUUGCUGGGCCGACACUGACGCUGAUGCGCGAAAGCCAGGGGAGCGAACGGG
RNAcentral lists this ribosomal RNA (254 nucleotides) under uncultured bacterium. RNAcentral's name for it is "partial 16S ribosomal RNA". It matches the Rfam family "Bacterial small subunit ribosomal RNA", at positions 524 to 776 of the family's 1533-position model. The record is from RNAcentral.